GCCGGGGUGGCCGAGCACGGUUAAGGCGCGGGACUCGAGAUCCCGUCCCCGCAAGGGGGCCCGGGUUCAAAUCCCGGCCCCGGCACCA
Molecule: transfer RNA, 88 nt
Filed under: Vulcanisaeta distributa DSM 14429
Lineage: Archaea; Thermoproteati; Thermoproteota; Thermoprotei; Thermoproteales; Thermoproteaceae
Description: tRNA-Ser (CGA) (tRNA-Ser-CGA-1-1)
Rfam family: tRNA
About the family: Transfer RNA (tRNA) molecules are approximately 80 nucleotides in length. Their secondary structure includes four short double-helical elements and three loops (D, anti-codon, and T loops).
Source: RNAcentral